UGGGGAAUAUUGGACAAUGGAGGGAACUCAGAUCCAGCAAUUCUGUGUGUGUGAAGAAGGUUUUAGGACUGUAAAACACUUUUAGUAGGGAAGAAAAAAAUGACGGUACCUACAGAAGAAGCAACGGCUAAAUACGUGCCAGCAGCCGCGGUAAUACGUAUGUUGCGAGCGUUAUCCGGAAUUAUUGGGCUUAAAGGGCAUCUAGGCGGUAAGACAAGUUGAAGGUGAAAACCUGUGGCUCAACCAUAGGCUUGCCUACAAAACUGUUGAACUAGAGUACUGGAAAGGUGGGUGGAACUACACGAGUAGAGGUGAAAUUCGUAGAUAUGUGUAGGAAUGCCGAUGAUGAAGAUAACUCACUGGACAGAAACUGACGCUGAAGUGCGAAAGCUAGGGGAGCAAACAGG
Molecule: ribosomal RNA, 407 nt
Filed under: Verrucomicrobiota bacterium
Lineage: Bacteria; Pseudomonadati; Verrucomicrobiota
Description: Verrucomicrobia bacterium partial 16S ribosomal RNA
Rfam family: Bacterial small subunit ribosomal RNA
Source: RNAcentral